ACGCACGCUGGCGGCGUGCUUAACACAUGCAAGUCGAACGGAAAGGCCCUGCUUUUGUGGGGUGCUCGAGUGGCGAACGGGUGAGUAACACGUGAGUAACCUGCCCUUGACUUUGGGAUAACUUCAGGAAACUGGGGCUAAUACCGGAUAGGAGCUCCUGCUGCAUGGUGGGGGUUGGAAAGUUUCGGCGGUUGGGGAUGGACUCGCGGCUUAUCAGCUUGUUGGUGGGGUAGUGGCUUACCAAGGCUUUGACGGGUAGCCGGCCUGAGAGGGUGACCGGCCACAUUGGGACUGAGAUACGGCCCAGACUCCUACGGGAGGCAGCAGUGGGGAAUAUUGCACAAUGGGCGGAAGCCUGAUGCAGCAACGCCGCGUGCGGGAUGACGGCCUUCGGGUUGUAAACCGCUUUCGCCUGUGACGAAGCGUGAGUGACGGUAAUGGGUAAAGGAGCACCGGCUAACUAC
This 464-nucleotide ribosomal RNA is filed under the name uncultured bacterium. RNAcentral describes it as "partial 16S ribosomal RNA". It matches the Rfam family "Bacterial small subunit ribosomal RNA", at positions 29 to 504 of the family's 1533-position model. The record is from RNAcentral.